Molecule: ribosomal RNA, 497 nt
Filed under: uncultured bacterium
Lineage: Bacteria
Description: partial 16S ribosomal RNA
Rfam family: Bacterial small subunit ribosomal RNA
Source: RNAcentral
GAUGAACGCUGGCGGUGUGCUUAACACAUGCAAGUCGAACGAAGCAUUUAGAACAGAUUAUUUCGGUAUGAAGUUCUUUAUGACUGAGUGGCGGACGGGUGAGUAACGCGUGGGUAACCUGCCUUGUACCGGGGGAUAGCAGCUGGAAACGGCUGGUAAUACCGCAUAAGCGCACAAUGUUGCAUGACAUGGUGUGAAAAACUCCGGUGGUAUAAGAUGGACCCGCGUCUGAUUAGCUAGUUGGUGAGAUAACAGCCCACCAAGGCGACGAUCAGUAGCCGACCUGGUAGGGUGACCGGCCACAUUGGGACUGAGACACGGCCCAGACUCCUACGGGAGGCAGCAGUGGGGAAUAUUGCACAAUGGAGGAAACUCUGAUGCAGCGACGCCGCGUGAGUGAAGAAGUAAUUCGUUAUGUAAAGCUCUAUCAGCAGGGAAGAUAGUGACGGUACCUGACUAAGAAGCUCCGGCUAAAUACGUGCCAGCAGCCGCAGUAA